UUGGUCAUGAUGUUUGUGCAGG
Molecule: non-coding RNA, 22 nt
Filed under: Mus musculus (house mouse)
Lineage: Eukaryota; Metazoa; Chordata; Mammalia; Rodentia; Muridae
Source: RNAcentral